AGAGCGAACGCUGGCGGCAGGCCUAACACAUGCAAGUCGAGCGCCCGUAGCAAUACGGGAGCGGCAGACGGGAUAGUAACACGUGGGAACGCGCCCUUCGGUUCGGAAUAACUCAGGGAAACUUGAGCUAAUACCGAAUACGCCCUUACGGGGAAAGAUUUAUUGCCGAAGGAACGGCCCGCGUCCGAUUAGCUAGUUGGUGAGGUAAUGGCUCACCAAGGCUACGAUCGGUAGCUGGUCUGAGAGGAUGACCAGCAUCACUGGGACUGAGACACGGCCCAGACUCCUACGGGAGGCAGCAGUGGGGAAUAUUGGACAAUGGGCGCAAGCCUGAUCCAGCCAUGCCGCGUGGAUGAUGAAGGCCUUAGGGUUGUAAAGUCCUUUAACGGGGAAGAUAAUGACGGUACCCGUAGAAUAAGCCCGGCUAACUUCGACGCCAGCAGCCGC
Molecule: ribosomal RNA, 447 nt
Filed under: uncultured bacterium
Lineage: Bacteria
Description: SSU rRNA
Rfam family: Bacterial small subunit ribosomal RNA
Source: RNAcentral